GAUGAACGCUGGCGGCGUGCUUAAUACAUGCAAGUCGAACGGAAAGGCGCCUGCUUUCAGGGGUACUCGAGUGGCGAACGGGUGAGUAACACGUGGGUGAUCUGCCCUGCACUUCGGGAUAAGCCUUGGAAACUGGGGCUAAUAUCGGAUAGGAUGAUGGUAUGGAUGUCAUUGUGGAAAGUAUUUCGGUGUUGGAUGAGCUUGCGGCCAAUUAGCUUGUUGGUGGGGUAAUGGCUUACCAAGGGGCCGACGGGUAGCCGGCCGGGGAGGGUGGACGGCCACAUUGGGACUACGAGAGGGCCCAGACUCCUACGGGAGGCAGCAGUGGAGAGUAUUGCACAAUAGGCGCGAGCCUGAUACAGCGGCGCCGCGUGGGGGAUGACGGCCUUCGGGUUGUGAACUCCUUUCGCUAGAGACAAAGCGCUAGUGACGGUACCUGGAGAAGAAGCACCGGCUAACUACGUG
RNAcentral lists this ribosomal RNA (465 nucleotides) under uncultured bacterium. RNAcentral's name for it is "partial 16S ribosomal RNA". It matches the Rfam family "Bacterial small subunit ribosomal RNA", at positions 28 to 507 of the family's 1533-position model. The record is from RNAcentral.